GAUGAACGCUAGCGGCAGGCCUAAUACAUGCAAGUCGAACGAUAGAAGAGGGCUUGCUCUCUUCGAAAGUGGCGCACGGGUGCGUAACGCGUAUGCAACCUACCUUAAUCAGGGGGAUAGCCCGAAGAAAUUCGGACUAACACCGCAUAAAAUCACAGUACAGCAUUGUACAAUGAUCAAAUAUUUAUAGGAUUAAGAUGGGCAUGCGUGACAUUAGCUAGUUGGCGGGGUAACGGCCCACUAAGGCGACGAUGUCUAGGGGAUCUGAGAGGAUGACCCCCCACACUGGUACUGAGACACGGACCAGACUCCUACGGGAGGCAGCAGUAAGGAAUAUUGGUCAAUGGAGGCAACUCUGAACCAGCCAUGCCGCGUGCAGGAAGACGGCCCUCUGGGUUGUAAACUGCUUUUAUUCGGGAAUAAACCUCAUUACGUGUAAUGAGCUGAAUGUACCGAAGGAAUAAGGAUCGGCUAACUCCGUGCCAGCAGCCGCGGUAA
This 498-nucleotide ribosomal RNA is filed under the name uncultured bacterium. Its description in RNAcentral is "partial 16S ribosomal RNA". It matches the Rfam family "Bacterial small subunit ribosomal RNA", at positions 28 to 523 of the family's 1533-position model. The record is from RNAcentral.